This 253-nucleotide ribosomal RNA is filed under the name uncultured bacterium. Its description in RNAcentral is "partial 16S ribosomal RNA". It matches the Rfam family "Bacterial small subunit ribosomal RNA", at positions 524 to 776 of the family's 1533-position model. The record is from RNAcentral.
UACGGGGGGGGCAAGCGUUGUUCGGAAUUACUGGGCGUAAAGGGCUCGUAGGCGGCCAACUAAGUCAGACGUGAAAUCCCUCGGCUUAACCGGGGAACUGCGUCUGAUACUGGAUGGCUUGAGGUUGGGAGAGGGAUGCGGAAUUCCAGGUGUAGCGGUGAAAUGCGUAGAUAUCGUUUGGAACGCCAACGGUGAAAACAGACAGCUGGGAGUGUGCUGACGCUGAGACACGAAAGCCAGGGGAGCGAACGGG